RNAcentral lists this ribosomal RNA (468 nucleotides) under uncultured bacterium. Its description in RNAcentral is "partial 16S ribosomal RNA". It matches the Rfam family "Bacterial small subunit ribosomal RNA", at positions 28 to 507 of the family's 1533-position model. The record is from RNAcentral.
GACGAACGCUGGCGGCGUGCUUAACACAUGCAAGUCGAACGGAAAGGCCCUGCUUUUGUGGGGUGCUCGAGUGGCGAACGGGUGAGUAACAAGUGAGUAACCUGCCCUUGACUUUGGGAUAACUUCAGGAAACUGGGGCUAAUACCGGAUAGGAGCUCCUGCUGCAUGGUGGGGGUUGGAAAGUUUCGGCGGUUGGGGAUGGACUCGCGGCUUAUCAGCUUGUUGGUGGGGUAGUGGCUUACCAAGGCUUUGACGGGUAGCCGGCCUGAGAGGGUGACCGGGCACAAUGGUACUGCGAGACGGCCCAGACUCCUACGGGAGGCAGCAGUGGGAAAUAUUGCACAAUGGGCGGAAGCGUGAUGCAGCAACGCCGCGUGCGGGAUGACGGCCUUCGAGUUGUAAACCGCUUUCGCCUGUGACGAAGCGUGAGUGACGGUAAUGGGUAAAGAAGCACCGGCUAACUACGUG